AUGGACACGGACUCGGAGACCAUCAAGACCUCGUGCAAAGAUAUUCUGCAGAAAUAUUCAAAGAACAGACGCCAUCAGAUCAAGAAGAAGUAUUUUGAUACCGUAGCCGCAAAUAAAGUCAGCAUUAAGUCUCCGGUGCCUGAUCUAACGGAUGGUGAAUGGCAAGCUCUGGUGGAGAUGUGGUCUACCCCAAGACACAAGGAAACCUGUGUGUCGAACAAGAUGAAUCGAGAAAAAGUCGUGUACAAUCACAGAACUGGUUCCAGGCACUACACAGCACACAUUUUUGCCACUAAAGAAGAGCGUAAGGGUGAGGAGCUGUCUGCGAUUGACUUGUUUAAGGCCACCCACAACAGCAAGAAGCACGGGUUUUCGGAGCCAGUCAAGACUGCUAUAGUAAUUUGA
RNAcentral lists this ribosomal RNA (405 nucleotides) under Triticum aestivum (bread wheat). Its description in RNAcentral is "partial small subunit ribosomal RNA". The record is from RNAcentral. Lineage: Eukaryota; Viridiplantae; Streptophyta; Magnoliopsida; Poales; Poaceae.